This 315-nucleotide ribosomal RNA is filed under the name uncultured eukaryote. RNAcentral describes it as "partial 18S ribosomal RNA". It matches the Rfam family "Eukaryotic small subunit ribosomal RNA", at positions 1470 to 1796 of the family's 1831-position model. The record is from RNAcentral.
CCCUUAGACGUUCUGGGCCGCACGCGCGCUACACUGACCAGUGCAACAAGCAACCGUCCUUGGCCGACAGGCCCGGGCAAUCUUUGAACGCUGGUCGUGAUGGGGAUAGACUUUUGCAAUUUUUGGUCUUCAACGAGGAAUUCCUAGUAAACGCAAGUCAUCAACUUGCAUUGAUUACGUCCCUGCCCUUUGUACACACCGCCCGUCGCACCUACCGAUUGAAUGGUCCGGUGAAGCCUCCGGAUUGGCGCGCACCUCGGUGCCGCCGAGAAGUUGGCUAAACCUUACCAUUUAGAGGAAGGUGAAGUCGUAACA